Molecule: microRNA precursor, 71 nt
Filed under: Myotis davidii
Lineage: Eukaryota; Metazoa; Chordata; Mammalia; Chiroptera; Vespertilionidae
Description: mir-9193 microRNA precursor family
Rfam family: mir-9193 microRNA precursor family
Source: Rfam by way of RNAcentral
CUUGGGGUGGGGGGGCUCAGCCCAGAUUGCGAGAGGGUGCAGGCUGGGCCGAGGGACCCCAGCCGUGCACA